AUGGGCGGAAGCCGGCGGUCUCUCAUUUGCGGGUCUUUGGCUGCCUUGUGUUCGCCAAGGAGCUUGGCCACAUCGGCAAGCUCGACGACAGGAGCACUCCGGGAGUCUUCAUCGGCUACGCGGAGGGCUCAAAGGCCUACCGCAUCCUCGACCCAAAGACACAACGUGUGCGCACAGCGCGAGACGUCGUGUUCAACGAAGGGCGAGGGUGGCAAUGGGACAAGGCGGUGGACGACGGCUCGACGCCGACGUAUGACGACUUCAUUGUCGAGUACGCUCACUUCAAGGAAGCUGGGGGAGCAAGCAGCUCCUCUUCACCGGGCACGUCUACCCUGGCCCCCAAAACUACAUCGACUCCGGCGCCUCCUGGCCCCCAAAACUACAUCGACUCCGGCGCCUGCUACACCGACGACACCACAACCGGCGACGCCGCAUACUCCAGCCCCGGCGGUCGCCACUCCGGGCUCGUCUUCAUCAGCACCAGCUCACGCAGAGCACAACCCGAUGAAGUUCGCUUCCCCGCUCACUCACGACGAGGAGCGGGUCGACGCAUGGUAUGGAGGCGAACCGCUGCGGUACCGUACGAUGGAUAAUGUGCUCGGCGACCAGCCGGUGCCAGGACUGGUGCCACGUGACCUGGAGGCGCAGCUACAGCUCGUGUGUGAAGACGGCGAACCACGGUCCUUUGCAGAGGCCGAGAGAGACGCGGCAUGGCGCGCCGCGAUGAAGUUGGAGAUGGAUGCGGUCAAGCAAAACCGCACCUGGGAGCUUGCUGAUCUCCCUCGAGGUCACCGCGCAAUCACCCUUAAGUGGGUGUUCAAGCUGAAGAGGGAUGGAGCCGGCGCCAUCAUCAAGCACAAGGCUCGUUUGGUGGCCCGAGGCUUCUUGCAGCAGGAAGGAGUCGACUUCGACGACGCUUUCGCUCCCGUGGCACGGAUGGAGUCCGUGCGACUUCUCCUUGCGCUGGCUGCCCAGGAGGGCUGGCGUGUCCACCACAUGGACGUUAAGUCGGCAUUCCUCAAUGGCGACUUGAAGGAGGAAGUCUACGUGCAUCAGCCACCGGGGUUUACGAUUCCCGGCCAGGAGGGCAAGGUGCUCCGCCUGCGCAAGGCUCUCUAUGGCCUGCGGCAGGCACCCAGGGCGUGGAACGCCAAGCUGGACUCCACGCUGAAGAAGAUGGGUUUCGAGCAGAGCCCGCAUGAGGCUGCCGUCUACCGACGGGGGAGUGGAGGAAAUGCCCUGCUGGUGGGCGUCUACGUUGACGACCUGGUGAUCACCGGCACCAAAGAUGCAGAGGUGGCGGCGUUCAAGGAAGACAUGAAGGCCAUGUUCCAGAUGAGUGACCUGGGGCUCCUCUCCUAUCUAGGGAUUGAGGUGCACCAGGACCACUCCGGGAUCGCGCUUCGACAGUCCGCCUACGCCAAGCGCAUCGUUGAGCUAGCUGGGCUCACCGACUGCCAUCCAGCUCUCACUCCGAUGGAGGAGAGGCUGAAACUAAGUCGCGACAGCACGACGGAGGAACGACCAACGUCGGAACACCAGCAGGCAGUGAAGAGGAUCGUCCGCUACAUAGCAGGGACCCUCGACCACGGCCUCCAUUACCCUAGGUGCCCUGGGGCGGCACACUUCGUCGGGUACAGCGACAGCGACCACGCCGGCGACAUCGACACCAGCAAGAGCACGAGCGGGAUCCUCCUCUUCCUCGGCAAGUGUCUCGUGAGCUGGCAAUCAGUCAAGCAGCAGGUGGUGGCCCUGUCCAGCUGUGAGGCUGAGUACAUAGCGGUCUCCACCGCCUGUACUCAGGCGCUCUGGCUUGCUCGACUGCUUGGUGAUCUUCUCGUUCAAGACACCAGAACGGUGCAGCUCCUGGUGGACAGCAAGUCCGCCCUGGCCCUGGCAAAGAACCCCGUGUUCCACGAACGGAGCAAGCACAUCCGACUGAGGUAUCACUUCAUCCGCAGCUGUGUGGAAGAAGGGAGCAUCGAGGCGAGCUACAUCAACACCAAGGAUCAGCUCGCAGACCUGCUCACCAAGCCCCUUGGGAGGGUCAAGUUCCUCGAACUUUGCUCCAGGAUUGGGAUGAUUCAACUCUCCCACAAGACGACGUACAAGACUUAG
This 2118-nucleotide ribosomal RNA is filed under the name Triticum aestivum (bread wheat). Its description in RNAcentral is "partial small subunit ribosomal RNA". The record is from RNAcentral. Lineage: Eukaryota; Viridiplantae; Streptophyta; Magnoliopsida; Poales; Poaceae.